AGGAUGAACGCUGGCGGCGUGCCUAACACAUGCAAGUCGAACGUCCUGUCUCGCAAGAGGCAGGGAGUGGCGGACGGGUGAGUACCACGUGGGUCAUCUACCGUGAGGUGAGGAAUACCGGCGAGAAAUCGCCGACAAGACCGCAUAGGCUCGAUGCAAGUCGAGCAAAGCUCUUUCGAGAGAGGGAGCGCCACACGAGGAGCCUGCGCCCGAUUAGCUAGCUGGUGGAGUAACGGUUCACCAGGGCGACGAUCGGUAGCUGGUCUGAGAGGACGAUCAGCCACACUGGGAUUGAGAACGGCCCAGACUCCUACGGGGGGCAGCAGUGAGGAAUUUUCGUCAAUGGGGGCAACCCUGAACGAGCAACGCCGCGUGCAGGAAGAAGGUUUUCGGAUCGUAAACUGCUUUUCUCGGGGAAGAGAAUGGACGGUACCGAGGAAUCGACGCCCCGGACUAACUACGUGCCAGCAGCCGCGGU
This 478-nucleotide ribosomal RNA is filed under the name uncultured bacterium. RNAcentral's name for it is "SSU rRNA". It matches the Rfam family "Bacterial small subunit ribosomal RNA", at positions 26 to 521 of the family's 1533-position model. The record is from RNAcentral.